Molecule: ribosomal RNA, 129 nt
Filed under: uncultured bacterium
Lineage: Bacteria
Description: partial 16S ribosomal RNA
Rfam family: Bacterial small subunit ribosomal RNA
Source: RNAcentral
GUGCCCAGAUGGGAUUAGCUAGUAGGUGGGGUAACGGCUCACCUAGGNGACGAUCCCUAGCUGGUCUGAGAGGAUGACCAGCCACACUGGAACUGAGACACGGUCCAGACUCCUACGGGAGGCAGCAUG